GGUGAUUUGGCGUAGUGGUUCAACGCACUGGAUAGUUCUCAUUCAGGAGUGUGGGUUCGAUUCCCGCAGUCACCA
Molecule: non-coding RNA, 75 nt
Organism: Hypoxylon sp. FL1150
Lineage: Eukaryota; Fungi; Ascomycota; Sordariomycetes; Xylariales; Hypoxylaceae
Source: the annotation of a GenBank genome assembly